This 330-nucleotide unclassified non-coding RNA is filed under the name soil metagenome. RNAcentral describes it as "partial contains 5.8S ribosomal RNA, internal transcribed spacer 2, and large subunit ribosomal RNA". The stretch from base 1 to 121 matches the Rfam family "5.8S ribosomal RNA", at positions 35 to 154 of the family's 154-position model. The record is from RNAcentral.
GAUGAAGAACGUAGCGAAAUGCGAUAAGUAAUGCGAAUUGCAGAAUUUCCGUGAAUCAUCGAAUCUUUGAACGCACAUUGCGCCCCUUGGUAUUCCGAGGGGCAUGCCUAUUCGAGCGUCAUUAUCACCCCUCAAGCCUAGCUUGGUGUUGAGACCUGCUGUCAAGGCAGUCUCUAAAAUCAGUGGCAGUGCUGUCAGGCUCUAAGCGUAGUAAAUCUAAUCGCUAUAGACACCUGGUGGACACUCGCCAGAACCCCCCCAUUUUUUAAUGAUUGACCUCGGAUUAGGUAGGGAUACCCGCUGAACUUAAGCAUAUCAAUAAGCGGAGGA